UCUGGGGAGGAGGCUGGGGAAGUGGGUUCCCCUGGUGAGAGGCCUUGGAGGAGCUGGGAGCUUGGAGGCGACCCUCCUGGGAGGGUGGGAGCAGGAUCUGACACGGAGGCCAGCCGGUGGGGGGUUCCAGGCGAGCCCCACCCUAGCAAAGGAGCCUGGCUCCCCGGAGACGGGUGACACGCAGACCAGGGUGGCGGCAGCUGGAGGCCUCUGAGACAAGGGAGAAGGGGAUCUGGGAGAGYACAGAUGGACAGACGGAUGGAUGGAUGGAAGGGAAGAAGGACGCCCGGAGGAGAAGACGUUCAGGGGGUGGAGGGCGGGAGGUGGCCAUGGACCCCUCCCUGCGGGGUCGGUGGGCCGCUGGCCCUCCCCCACGCUCCCAGGCAGGGCUAGGAGAGCCAGAGGCGGCCCCACCAGCUCCCCAGCCGCCUCCUCUCAGGACACCUGGCAAGGGAGCGGGACCCAGGCCAACUCAAGGGGAAGGUCGGCCAAGGACAGCCUGAGAGAUUCAGGCUAGACGGCAGGGGGACUUCCUCAGUGGGAGGCGAUGGAAAGCCCUCUGAGAAGACCCCUCCACAGCCCCUGUGGCACUGGCUCUGUCUCAACCCCCAUGGGACACACUUUUCCCAGAAGUGGUUUCCUAAGGCCUGGCCACUUUGUCUCUCUGGGCAGGCCGGGGGACAGUGACAUUGAAAUCCACAUUAAACAUGCCUGACGAGCACCUCAGCCCCGUGGUGGCCGACRUCAUUGCCUAGGGUCGGGCUGCAGCACAGUGGUGAGACUUUAAA
Long non-coding RNA from Urocitellus parryii (Arctic ground squirrel), 788 nucleotides. RefSeq lists it as uncharacterized. The record is from RefSeq and is a predicted model, not a curated record. NCBI's taxonomy places the organism in Eukaryota, Metazoa, Chordata, Mammalia, Rodentia, Sciuridae.